AACCAGCACCUCAAGUGGUCAGGAGGAUUAUUGGGCCUAAAGCAUCCGUAGCCUGUUCUAUAAGUUUGCGGUUAAAUCUAUACGCUCAACGUAUAGGCUGCCGUAAAUACUGUAGAACUAGGGAGUGGGAGAGGUAGACGGUACUCGAUAGGAAGGGGUAAAAUCCUUCGAUCUAUUGAUGACCACCUGUGGCGAAGGCGGCUCACUGGCUCGAUACUGACGCUGAGGUACGAAAGUGUGGGGAGCAAACAGG
This 253-nucleotide ribosomal RNA is filed under the name uncultured archaeon. RNAcentral describes it as "partial 16S ribosomal RNA". It matches the Rfam family "Bacterial small subunit ribosomal RNA", at positions 548 to 776 of the family's 1533-position model. The record is from RNAcentral.